Molecule: long non-coding RNA, 568 nt
Organism: Gorilla gorilla gorilla (western lowland gorilla)
Lineage: Eukaryota; Metazoa; Chordata; Mammalia; Primates; Hominidae
Exons: 5
Source: RefSeq, a predicted model, not a curated record
UUUAGCAUCUCCCCAAAUUCCAUCCCUGAGUGAAGAUUAGAAGACUUAAUUUGGAGUAGAGGACAGCAACUGGAAGGAAGGUGGAAAGUUUGAACAUGAUGAAGGGACUGAAAAAUUUCCCAAGAUGGCCGAAUAGAAACAGCUCCAGUCUACAGCUCCCAGCGUGAGCGACGCAGAAGACGGGUGAUUUCUGCAUUUCCAACUGAGGUACCGGGUUCAUCUCACUAGGGAGUGCCAGACAGUGGGCGCAGGGCCUUGCAAAGAAACUGGAUAAGAGAGCAGACAACUUUUGGUGGAUAAUACAACAUCCUUGGUGAUUACUGGCAUCCAUGAUCCAGGAAGUCCCCUGGAAAAUUCAGGUAUUCAAAAUCACCUUAAAAAGGACAUACAAGGAGCAAGCAGAGAAAUAUGAUACUGGAGAAGACCAUUCUCCCAGGUGACAGAGAAUACAAGGUUCAUCCCAAAGGAUAAGAACAUGGCUGCAAAAGGAACCACUUCCAGAGGAGUCAAAGAAGAUUCAGGGCUACCUGUGCAGGUCUGUUACAUGAGUAAAUUCCGAGUCACUGAG